Molecule: long non-coding RNA, 288 nt
Filed under: Chloebia gouldiae (Gouldian finch)
Lineage: Eukaryota; Metazoa; Chordata; Aves; Passeriformes; Passeridae
Description: Erythrura gouldiae (Gouldian finch) lncRNA (ENSEGOG00005015445.1)
Source: RNAcentral
GCAGGACAGGUGGGAGCAGAGGCAGAGCUGUGGGAAAUGCAAGCCAAGCCUGGGGAGCUGUCCUCACUUCUGGGCUUGGUCUUGCACACAAGCCCUGUUCUUGUUUUGUCCCUCAGGCUUCAAGCACAAGAAGAUGAUAUGUUUCCUACAGGUGUUUCAGCUUGGACGUGUUAUGGGUUGUGCGACUGGAAAAUGUGGUGCACGGCAGUUUUGGGGCUGUCUCUUCACAGGAGUCAAGGGAUCCCUGCCCUUAUAUUCUCUGCUCUGGCUCUGUGUCUGACUGGCUGA